GGGGAUGCGGGUGCUAUACAUGCAGUCGAGCGGACAGAUGGGAGCUUGCUCCCUGAUGUUAGCGGCGGACGGGUGAGUAACACGUGGGUAACCUGCCUGUAAGACUGGGAUAACUCCGGGAAACCGGGGCUAAUACCGGAUGGUUGUUUGAACCGCAUGGUUCAGACAUAAAAGGUGGCUUCGGCUACCACUUACAGAUGGACCCGCGGCGCAUUAGCUAGUUGGUGAGGUAACGGCUCACCAAGGCAACGAUGCGUAGCCGACCUGAGAGGGUGAUCGGCCACACUGGGACUGAGACACGGCCCAGACUCCUACGGGAGGCAGCAGUAGGGAAUCUUCCGCAAUGGACGAAAGUCUGACGGAGCAACGCCGCGUGAGUGAUGAAGGUUUUCGGAUCGUAAAGCUCUGUUGUUAGGGAAGAACAAGUGCCGUUCAAAUAGGGCGGCACCUUGACGGUACCUAACCAGAAAGCCACGGCUAACUACGUGCCAGCAGCCGCGGUAAUACGUAGGUGGCAAGCGUUGUCCGGAAUUAUUGGGCGUAAAGGGCUCGCAGGCGGUUUCUUAAGUCUGAUGUGAAAGCCCCCGGCUCAACCGGGGAGGGUCAUUGGAAACUGGGGAACUUGAGUGCAGAAGAGGAGAGUGGAAUUCCACGUGUAGCGGUGAAAUGCGUAGAGAUGUGGAGGAACACCAGUGGCGAAGGCGACUCUCUGGUCUGUAACUGACGCUGAGGAGCGAAAGCGUGGGGAGCGAACAGGAUUAGAUACCCUGGUAGUCCACGCCGUAAACGAUGAGUGCUAAGUGUUAGGGGGUUUCCGCCCCUUAGUGCUGCAGCUAACGCAUUAAGCACUCCGCCUGGGGAGUACGGUCGCAAGACUGAAACUCAAAGGAAUUGACGGGGGCCCGCACAAGCGGUGGAGCAUGUGGUUUAAUUCGAAGCAACGCGAAGAACCUUACCAGGUCUUGACAUCCUCUGACAAUCCUAGAGAUAGGACGUCCCCUUCGGGGGCAGAGUGACAGGUGGUGCAUGGUUGUCGUCAGCUCGUGUCGUGAGAUGUUGGGUUAAGUCCCGCAACGAGCGCAACCCUUGAUCUUAGUUGCCAGCAUUCAGUUGGGCACUCUAAGGUGACUGCCGGUGACAAACCGAG
This 1147-nucleotide ribosomal RNA is filed under the name Bacillus sp. (in: firmicutes). Its description in RNAcentral is "bacterial SSU rRNA". It matches the Rfam family "Bacterial small subunit ribosomal RNA", at positions 38 to 1166 of the family's 1533-position model. The record is from RNAcentral. Lineage: Bacteria; Bacillati; Bacillota; Bacilli; Caryophanales; Bacillaceae.